This 29-nucleotide non-coding RNA is filed under the name Rattus norvegicus (Norway rat). The record is from RNAcentral. Lineage: Eukaryota; Metazoa; Chordata; Mammalia; Rodentia; Muridae.
UAGUCUAGUUGUACUUAGUGUAGCGUUGG